RNAcentral lists this ribosomal RNA (253 nucleotides) under uncultured bacterium. RNAcentral's name for it is "partial 16S ribosomal RNA". It matches the Rfam family "Bacterial small subunit ribosomal RNA", at positions 524 to 776 of the family's 1533-position model. The record is from RNAcentral.
UACGAAGGGGGCUACCGUUGUUCGGAAUUACUGGGCGUAAAGGGCGCGUAGGCGGUACUUCAAGUCAGGCGUGAAAGCCCCGGGCUCAACCUGGGAACCGCGCUUGAGACGGGAGAACUAGAGUUCGGGAGAGGAUGGUGGAAUUCCCAGUGUAGAGGUGAAAUUCGUAGAUAUUGGGAAGAACACCGAUGGCGAAGGCAGCCAUCUGGACCGACACUGACGCUGAGGCGCGAAAGCGUGGGGAGCAAACAGG